RNAcentral lists this ribosomal RNA (422 nucleotides) under uncultured bacterium. RNAcentral's name for it is "partial 16S ribosomal RNA". It matches the Rfam family "Bacterial small subunit ribosomal RNA", at positions 360 to 774 of the family's 1533-position model. The record is from RNAcentral.
AAUUUUGGACAAUGGGGGAAACUCUGAUCCAGCCAUCCCGCGUGUAUGAUGAAGGCCUUCGGGUUGUAAAGUACUUUUGGCAGAGAAGAAAAGGUAUCUCCUAAUACGAGAUACUGCUGACGGAAUCUGCAGAAUAAGCACCGGCUAACUACGUGCCAGCAGCCGCGGUAAUACGUAGGGUGCAAUCGUUAAUCGGAAUUACUGGGCGUAAAGCGUGUGUAGGCGGUUCGGAAAGAAAGAUAUGAAAUCCCAGUGCUCAACCUUGGAACUGAAUUUGUAACUGCCGGGCUAGAGUAUGUCAGAGUGGAGUAGAAUUCCACGUGUAGCAGUGAAAUGCGUAGAUAUGUGGAGGAAUACCGAUGGCGAAGGCAGCCCCCUGGGAUAAUACUGACGCUCAGACACGAAAGCGUGGGGAGCAAACA